UUCAUCUGAGUGGCCAUCUAACCCACCUGGUUAGUGAGACUUUGUAUAUAAGCUCUCGUCUCUUGCUGAAAUUGCAGGUUUUGCAUAGUCAUCUGUCUCACUAACUCUUCCAAUGAAGGUGCAGAUGAAGUGGACGGUUGGGCAGCUGGUUGGGCAGGUGCCUCUUGCUGCUGCUGUUGUUGCCUCUGGUGUUGUUGCAUAGGUGGAGGCACAUAUCUGUUAGGUGCUCCAACAUUCUGGAAAGGUGUCGCCUGCUGCUGAUGUUGUGGCGCAUUGUUCCAUCUAAGAUUAGGGUGAUUCCUCCACCCUGAGUUGUACCUAUUGCUGGAC
This 330-nucleotide long non-coding RNA is filed under the name Vigna radiata. Its description in RNAcentral is "long non-coding RNA (VRAD_LNC004865)". Lineage: Eukaryota; Viridiplantae; Streptophyta; Magnoliopsida; Fabales; Fabaceae. The record is from RNAcentral.